RNAcentral lists this ribosomal RNA (468 nucleotides) under uncultured bacterium. RNAcentral describes it as "partial 16S ribosomal RNA". It matches the Rfam family "Bacterial small subunit ribosomal RNA", at positions 28 to 507 of the family's 1533-position model. The record is from RNAcentral.
GACGAACGCUGGCGGCGUGCUUAACACAUGCAAGUCGAACGGACAGGCCCUGCGCUUGCGGCUUGCUCGAGUGGCGCACGCGUGAGUAACACGCGAGUAACCUGCCCCUGUCUUUCGGAUAUCAUCAGGAAACUCCGGCUCAUACCGCAUAGGAGCUCCUGCUGCAUGGUGUGGGUUGGAAAGUUACGGCGGUUGGGGAUCGACUCGCGGCUUAUCGGCUUCUUGGUGUGGUAGUGGCUUACCAAGGCUUCGACGGGUACCCGGCCUGAGAGGGUGACCGGGCACAUGGGGACUGAGGGAGGGCCCAGAAGCGUACGGGAGGCAGCAGGGGGGAAUAUUGCAGAAUGGGCGGGAGCCUGAGGCAGAAGCGCCGCGUGCGGGAUGACGGCCUUCGGGUGGUAAACCGCUGUCGCCUGUGACGAAGCGGGAGUGACGGUAAUGGGUAAGGAAGCACCGGCUAACUACGUG